AGAAAUUUAGGUUAACCAAACCAAGAGCCUUCAAAGCUCUAAAUAGGGCACAACCCCUAAUUUCUG
Molecule: transfer RNA, 66 nt
Filed under: Tropiocolotes steudneri
Lineage: Eukaryota; Metazoa; Chordata; Lepidosauria; Squamata; Gekkonidae
Description: tRNA-Trp
Source: RNAcentral